UUAUAAUGAAAUGCCUAGCAAACAGAAUAAGGAUAGAAUCUUAUAAGCCACAAGAGAGAGAAAUCAGAUCACAUAUAGGGGGGGGACCAAUUUGUAUCUCAGCAGAUUUUUCAACCCAGACCCUCAAAUCCAGGAGGUUGUGGAACAACAUAUACCAUGCACUGAAAGAAAAUGGAUGCCAACCAAGAAUCUUGUAUCCAGCAAAACUAAGCUUUGGAUUUGAUGAUGAAAUAAAAACCUUCCAUGAUAAACAAAAGUUAAAAGAAUUUACUACUAGAAAGCCUUCACUACAGAACAUCGUCAGCAAAAUGUACCCUUUCUUGAACCCAUGAAGUUGGGUGUUUAAAGACAUGAGGCCUUUGUCAGGUCCCAGAGAGGGGAUGUUUCUUUGGGUUGUUCUUUCCCAGAGCUUCUACCCACCCUCCUUCCCACCCUGUUAUAAUCUGGUAACUAAUAACUUUUCAGUCAGUCAACAUAGAUUAUUUUUGAGGCUUACAUUUUUACAAUUUUCAUAAUGGAUGAUAUUUAGAUAUUUAUUUUAAUGUCAGCAUACAUUUAAAAACCCUGCCAUCUCAAAUCCCGAAAGUAGAGAUUGACAGACAUUUCUAAUAUUUAUUUAUAGAGCUCCAGUGUUUGUACAGUAUCCUGAAAACCAAAGGCAUUGAUUAGGUUUAUAGAAAUUGCAAUAAGUCUCAGCCAUACUAAAUUGGAUUGAAUACUGUAACUUGUUUUAGUCAUUGAAAGACGCAAUUAUUUCCAGAUAUAUAUGUCUGCCACUGCCUGUCAUUCUUGAGUUAGUAUCUUGCUUCCACUUCCUGUCCUCUCUAUCCCCAGAACUCCUCUUUAAAUCUUCCUGGCUCUUGCUUUCAUCCUCUGGCUGUCUACCCGCCAUAAUGCAGUGUGGUUCAGAAGUAAGACCACCAGGUCGUGUCAGCAUGUGGUGUGAUUUUCAAGGUGGCUAAACUAGGGGUUUUGAUUAAGGACAUCAAAGUCUCACAAAUUAGGUGGGAUUGAAGGGCAGUCUCUCAGGCUCAUCCUUUCUCUGCUGCUCCUGACUUUGCCUGCCUGCUGCACUGAGCACCUCUCAAACCUGGGAGAGCAUGGAUGCCAGCACGCAGGAUGUGUGUGCCUGCAUGUACAUGUGGGACGGCCCUUUUCUGAAGAUCUUCACUUUUGCCCUGUCCUGGUAUAUAUUUCCUCUUUUCUUUGAGCUCCC
This 1216-nucleotide long non-coding RNA is filed under the name Marmota monax (woodchuck). Lineage: Eukaryota; Metazoa; Chordata; Mammalia; Rodentia; Sciuridae. The record is from RNAcentral.